GGACAACCUGCCCUCGGGAGGGGGAUAACCCCGGGAAACUGGGGCUAAACCCCCAUAGGUGAUGGAUACUGGAAUGUUCCAUCACCGAAAGUCCGCAAGGAGCCCGAGGAUGGGUCUGCGGCGGAUUAGGUAGUUGGUGGGGUAACGGCCCACCAAGCCUAAGAUCCGUACGGGCCAUGGGAGUGGGAGCCCGGAGAUGGACCCUGAGACAAGGGUCCAGGCCCUACGGGGCGCAGCAGGCGCGAAACCUCCGCAAUGCGGGAAACCGCGACGGGGUCAGCCGGAGUGCCGAUGCUUGCAUCGGCUGUCGGGGAGCCUAAAAAGCUCCCCAUAGCAAGGGCCGGGCAAGGCCGGUGGCAGCCGCCGCGGUAAUACCGGCGGCCCGAGUGGCGGCCACUAUUAUUGGGCUUAAAGCGUCCGUAGCCGGGUUGGUUAGUCUCCCGGGAAAUCUGGCCGCUUAACGGUCAGAAUUCCGGGAGAUACUGCCAGCCUAGGGACCGGGAGAGGCCGAGGGUAUUCCCGGAGUAGGGGUGAAAUCCUAUAAUCCCGGGAGGACCACCUGUGGCGAAGGCGCUCGGCUGGAACGCGUCCGACGGUGAGGGACGAAGGCCAGGGGAGCAAACCGGAUUAGAUACCCGGGUAGUCCUGGCUGUAAACGAUGCGGACUUUGUGUCGGACAAGCUAUGAGCUUGUCCGGUG
Molecule: ribosomal RNA, 699 nt
Filed under: uncultured archaeon
Lineage: Archaea
Description: bacterial SSU rRNA
Rfam family: Archaeal small subunit ribosomal RNA
Source: RNAcentral